This is an RNA transcript of Hemicordylus capensis (graceful crag lizard), 7132 nucleotides long. RefSeq lists it as uncharacterized. The record is from RefSeq and is a predicted model, not a curated record. The transcript is spliced from 5 exons. NCBI's taxonomy places the organism in Eukaryota, Metazoa, Chordata, Lepidosauria, Squamata, Cordylidae.
UACCCCAUUCUCCUCCCCCUCCUCCCUCCCAGGUCCCCCCUCCCCCCCUCCGAGUGGCGUCACGGUGUCGCGGUUCCCGUGCUGCCCUUCCCGUGCUGCCCCUGGGUGGGAGCGGGGGAGGAGCCAGCCAGAGCCGGCCGAGGAGCGUCCGGGUCGCCCAUGGCGACCAGGCCGGAGGCGAAGGAACAAACUGGAAGAUCGCCCGGGUACCCCAAGUAUGCUGCCUUGAGUUCCUUCAGGGAGGAAAGGAGAGUCGUAAAUGCAUACUAUGGCGAGGCCCAACAGGUCUGACAAGCAUCAUGUGUGAAACGAAGGUGGUCCCCAAAGGCUUUCCAGGAACACUAGACACGCACCGAGAGUGGCUCUGGGCCAGGCAGGCAGUGGGCCAAAUGUCCUUGGAGCUACAAUGACUCCAGAAGCAACACUCAAGCAGGACCUGGGAUGCAAUACCAAUAUUUAGAGUUUGUUUGGGCCAGUUUUUAGAGUCAGUUUUGAAGGAGAACUGCAGAGAGUUCAGACAAAAGCCACGAGAAUGACCUCUGUUAUACAAAAAGGAUGCUUAGUGGGUCAUGUAUUGGUGUGUUAUGGAUGGAGAUCUGCAUUGGCUUCCAAGUGGUUUGGACCUAUUAGAAGCUCCCACUAGCCUAAUGCCAUGAAUGUUGAGGCGGACAAUGUGGAAGAAAAAGCUGUCCAUUCCUGGUCAAGGAUCUCCUCUGCAGGACAGAAAGCACUGGAAGAAGCACUCAGAGUGUUCAACCCCAUGUCCAAAGACCUUUCUGAUACAGAGACCCAGCUGGUUGCUUUUCUUCAGGGCCUCAGGGAGGAAGGUUACCAGCCUACAAUCCUAAGGAGUAAAGACGUGUAUGGGUACAGCUCAUGCACAGCCAAUACGCCUGGCCAGACAAAAAGCAGGACUCAGGACACUUCAAAAACAGCUGUCCCUAUUUUGGACUCUGCUAAGGCUCUAACAAGAAGCACAGUAACGAUGACAAAAGUAUCUGCCCCUCUAGAAGGCAUUACAGUAAGUUCUUCUAAAGACCAUGGUAAGCCAUUGCCCAAGAGCAGUAAUUCCACCAACCUCCUCUUGAACUCUUUGAAACGGACCCGUUCAGGCACAUCAAAAGCCUCGGGAGUGGGUUUCCCUGCUAACAUGUACCCUGGUGUCUAUCCAGCCAUGAGGCUGUCUGUGGUGCUGGAAGCCUUGGUCCCGCUGAAAGCCACAGCAUCCUGUCUGGAGUCAAAGUGCAAACAAGGGCAUCUUGGGAUCUCUCCCUCAGACUUGAAGCUCCUCAAGGCAGCCAAUGCCUCCAGGCAACCUUCAGCAGUCAAGGCCACUAAAAUAUCACCAGCUCAGUUGGACACUAAAGGGUAUAGGCAUCUAAUAAAGAAAGUGCCAGACUCUGCUGCCCUGACGGUAACCCUUUUAAAAGGACCCAAUGGUGGGGUGCUGCAGGAAAGCAAUGCUUGCAAAGCUUCUGGAAUCCUGAAUGGCAGGAUUUCUGGAAGUGCUUCCCAGAGCUGCAGUGCAGGGGCCUCCCGAACUAAAGAACCAUCAGUGGGCAAAACAGAACGGAGAGGUGGUGGUGGUAGUCACCAGGAGACUGUGGGGCAGAAAAGGAAAAGUGCAGAAGAGGGAAAAGAAUUGCCACGUGGGAAGAAACCCAAUUCUGUUCAGUCCUCCAGUAAACCAGAACUGGCUUCGAAUGCCUUAAACCUGCUGAAGUUCCGAGCCAUCAAAGUGAACAGCUCUUCAGAUGACGAAUUGAGGAGGAGAGCACAGAAGAUCCUUAGGGUUAAUCUAUCACCUGUUAUCAGAAUCCAGCCAUUGCCCCACUCUCACAGCGUCCCAUGAGUCGCCUAGUUAAUUUGGAGCCACAGGGCCAUGGCAGGAGGAGGAUCUGACCUACUUCAGGUCUCUUGGGCUUGAUGAGGAUGAGGUUGUAUGUCUCGGCAGUCCUUGGGCAGCUGGCCAUCAGGUCAUAGCUAGCAGCUGGGGAAGGUUCAUCGGAGCCGGGCAACUGCUGGAUUAUAAAACUGUGUUGAGAAAUACUGGAGAAGGUCUCCAAGGCCCAAUUGAGAGGAAUGCUGAGCAGAGCACUGGCUUUCCUCUGGGACACUUUUCUACCAUGCUUUUGUAAACAUGGCAGAGCAUAUGUUUGGGAUGUGGCAGCACUUGGGAUAUUGCUGUACUGUGAUUUUUCUUUUCUUUUUCCCAAUCUGUAAAUUACUGGUUUUAUUUCGAUCAUAUUUUAUAUACUUAUUAAAUAUAAAUAUCUAUUGACUCAUAUACAUGCAUUGCCCAAGGGCUAUCAGAAUGUGAUUCCUUCUUCCUCUUGUCCCCCUUCUCUAGAACUGGGUGCAGAAGUUUUCCUUGCCUUGUUUUCAGUCAGUCAUUUGUUGAAAGAUGCCUUUGUUCUGUUCCAGUGUUGCCUCUUUUUUGUUUGCUGUAAACCUGAGGGGCUAACUGUUGUCUUAUCCAUUAGUCACUGGCUGCUGGCUGCCUCAUUGCUGGCUAGGGCUAAAGGGUACGGGUCAGAUGGAGAAGUGUUCCAAGUGUAUGGAGAGGGAGGAUGGGAGAGAGGUGCUUCUCUGGUCCCAUCAGUCCACCCUUGUCUGGAAUGUUUGCUCCCACAGGCUUGAAGAUGGUGUCGGGGGGAGGGUGUUCCCCAAUAUAAGGGUUUGUAGGCCCUUUUGAGAAGGUGGCAAGGGAGGAGAGACCAAGACCCCAGCAAGCCCCACUGAGCACUGCCAGCUUUGUGCCAAAGAGGGUGGAUGGGGAGGCACUCAGUUUGUGGAGAACCUUUCUGAAGACUUGGUGUUUCACCACCUCCUCAGAAGAACUGACCCGUGGAAUCAAGUACCUGUGCUCUCUCAUGUAUUUGCCUCCAAAGGGUAAUUGUAUUACAGGACCCAGUGGAGUUGGCUCUUGGUGUUGCUCCCUUCUGUUAAAUUAGAAAAAGAGCCUGUGACUGCCUGUGAGCCAAUAUGAAUAUGACCACUGGCAAUGAAUACAUUCUGGCGUAGUUGUUAACCCUUUCUGCUGCCAGACAUCCCAGUAAAUACCUUAUCCCUGCUGUGGACCCUAGGGCCAUUGUGCUUCUGAAUAUAGCUGGUAUAAGAGAACACAAACAGUCUGGAUUAUAUCUGCUGGUGCAGCAACUGGAAACUUCUUGGGCUUGAUGCAGAGGUGAUUCUUGUCCUGUGUAAAGGUGGAGCCAAACUAUAUUGUUACAGAACAGGCUUCUGGCCUUCACGACAAUGAAGGUUCAUUAAUGCACAUUUGUCAACACCAUAAGUAUUUCAAGAAUAUAAUUUUGACUUCUGCUUUGUGCCACAUCUGCAAACCUAAACCUGAUUUAAGCCUAUUGUACCAUCAUGGCUUCCCCAGGGAACUUUGGUGAUUAGUAGUUCUAUAAAGGUGCUAUGUGUUGGAGAUCCUGCACUCUUGAAAAUGGCAUUUCCCAGAGUUCCUUGGGAAAAGGCCUCCACAAUUACUGAUUUAAUUUUUUGUGUAGGCAUGUUGUUGUUAAUGCCUCUCUUUUUUCACCAUACCGUAAAGUUUGCUGUGUUCGUUAUUUUAAUGAGUUUAAAAUAAUUCUCUACUGAAAAGCUUUUGAUCUUAACAGUUUAAGGUACCCAUUUUACAAGUUAUGAAAAAUGAAGUGAAUUCUGAGGCAGUAGAAUUCUGGGUUGUACCAUGAGAUAGCAGGUGGGUGGUGUGACAGUAAAGAACUUUUACUUUUCAACUUCACAAAAAGUUCCAUAUAUAUAUAUAAAAUAAAUUAGCACAUCAGAGAAGACUACAUUAAAUCUUUCUUUCACAUGCAAGGAGGCUUUAAUGUAAAGAUGUAUUUUAAAAUGCAGACAUUUUUCCCUACUGUUGAUGUGGUAGUAUCCAGAAUUCUGCCACCUCCUCCUGUAUAACUUGUAAAAAGACUGUAUUUCUCUAAUCUGAAUCAUAAUACUUGGAAGCUGCAAUGCUGAUUUUGGUGGGAGUCUGCUGUGCUGGCUUUGUGUGGUAAGCAUGGGAGUAGUUUUUGGGGGGUGUCAUUUAUUUCAUGGGUCAAAUAGAUUCCACUAAUUAGCCCAUUGCCAGGUUUAUGGAGCCUCCCUUGAACAAUGAUGGACCCUUUGUGCUUUAUUGAGGAUAGUUGGCCAGUUUGCACAAUGCUGUCCUAAAGCAUUUAGAAAAGAAAAACCUGGGUGGGCGGGGGGAGCGAGAACGCUCCCCUUCAUGGCCAGUUGGCAGGUGCUGGUGCUCUAACUUGGCAGAGCUGCCAAUCUCACCACUUUGGCCAUGCAUCCUCUCAAAUGGAGCUAAUGCUAGAACAAUCUUUGCUUGCAUCACAAUGAAUCUUCAGGCACAAUACCUUCCUUGAGGGUCUCUGGAUAUGACUGUCUCUUCUCAGUACAUAUUGUACAACAAGGAGAAAAUGCAGUUGCUUCUGCUGUGUCUCCAGCACUUUUGCCUGUCCAGUCAAAUGCUUUCAGAAAUAAAUCUUCCCAGAUUGUAGACUCCCAUUGUUCUGGGAACUCUUUGUUCUUGAGUAUAUAUUAGUUGCAGGACAAAAAAAAGGCUUCUGAAUGAGCUACACAAGUUGCUGCUAGAGCCCUCUCCGUGAUGAAUCUAUAUUGAGCCAUCUGGUACUACUCUUCUAUUGGACUGUGUACUGGGCAAGUGUCUUUCUGAUGCCAUGUUCCUGUUAAGCAUCUGACACAAUCAAGUAUCGGUACACAGAGAAAUUUGCUCUUUGCUUACAUGCCAGUGUAGCUUUUGAUGCAUCCUUUCUCUAGUCUUGUACAUGUUCUUGCUACAGCCAUAGUCUGGUUUAACUGUCUGGCUUCCACUGCCUCUCUUCCCAGUACUCCUGGGUGUUGUAAUUCUUUGUAAAGAUUGGGUUUGCUCAUGGCAUUCUUGGCCACUUUACAAAACUAUACCCUGGACUGUUUUUAAGGACGAAGCACCGGUUAAAGCUUCUCUGGAGGCCUCCAUACUUGGGAAUCAGCCCCACAGCUUCAUCAAGAUUACCUGGGUGUCCUUAAAUAGCUGGGUGUUUAGAAGAUGAUUGGCACAUUAAAACUUCUCUCACAGUGCUGCUGGGAUGGGAAAAGGCAUUACUGCAACCAUCUCUGAUACACAGCUGUUGAAAAGGCGUCUUUUAAAAGUCAGGCAUUGCCAGUUUUGCUUGCUGCUAAGUUGCUUUACUGCAGCAGUGGACUCCUCAAACGUACUUGGAAGCCCAGUAUUUCUCUAACCAAGAAUGUCAGUGAGGAUCCCAUUCCCAAGUUCUCUGGCUGCAUUUGUGAUUGGAGUGUGUUUCUUUUUUUGUUCCUUUGAACAGGGAUCUGUAUGUUGGCAAUAUGUUGCCCUGUCUAUAUAAAACUUUCUGUCAGGAAGCAGUGUGUUCACAGGAGAAGGGUGGUGAGCUGUGAAGCCCUCUAAAACACUGGAGGAAUAAGGAAGAGGCCGUGUUGGCAAGUGGGAGCCCCUAAAGCAACCAUACGGUUCAAGUUGUGCUGAGUUCUUCCCUUUAAUGAAUCUAGAAGAAGGAUCUGAUCUGGAGAAAGAAGCUAAGAUUUCUUAGGCUGGAACAGGGUUGGCUGUGCUUGGCCUUGGAAAACACUCCUGUACUUUUAAAUAGCUCCAUGUUAGGUUGUAGUUUGUGCAGUUUCCUUGGUUGAUGCUUUGUUCAUAGAGUGAAGUAAGGAAAAGGACAACACACCCCUUGCUUCCUAUUCCCAUCUUAAAGUCAACAUUUGGGUGCAGGACACUUGACACCAAAGGUGGAAGGAGUUGCUCUGUUCCUGAAUCCUGAAUGAAAACUACUUUCCUCGACCAAAUGGCCAUGUUGAAUUUGAAAUGAGUAGUGCCAAUAAAACUACUUUGGCCCAAUCUCCUCAUUGGAAGGAGAAACCCAUACCUUUUGAUCAUUAAAGUGGCCAUUACAGGAUGGGUGGAAUGAGGGAAGGCCAUUUGGACUAAUGAUAGCUGUUUAGAAAAAUAACAUAUCGGGUGGCUACAUCCUUUACUAAUGUUGUGGCUCUGACAUGAAAAAAGCUGCACCUGUCAAUUUCCUACUACCCCACUGUUAAAGGCAUAGAAACACAGACAACAGUAACAGACAACUCCAGCCUUUGGAACAACAACCCUGUAUUAAUAGCUACCCUGCAUCUUGACCCUCCUUUUUCUUUCAGCUGGAGAAGUUCCUGAUUUUUGCUUCUGUGAUUCUUCAGAAAUGUGACUGGCAGAGGUUACCAUUCUUCAGCCUUGCCAAUGUUGUGUACAGAGCAGUUUGUUUCCCCACCCAGAAAGUGCUUCACUGCAGAAAGGUGGAUUUUUAUUUUUUUUUAGUUGCUUGCCUGUUGUCAAGCUUGGGAUCAUCCCUGGUUGAACUAAUGAAUAUCUUCAUCAACAGUAGAAGGAAGAGCUAUUUUUAUGGAAAUUAAGUGGAGCUCAAUAAUAUGCCAAUCUGCCAUUCCUGAUGUAGGUGAUCUACGGAGCUGCUGGAUGCUAGCCAAAUUCUGCAGGGCCGCCACAAGGUAUUGCAUUUGGCUCUGAACUCUUCUGUCUUGCCAAGCACGAACCUGGUCUCCUUCCCUGGAAGCCGGCUUUUACCAUGGAUCCCUUCCAUCCUGAAUUCAUGGCCACCUACCAUUUGUACAAUGUACUGUGUAGACUUUGCCACAACAUUAGUUGUAUAUAUGUGAGUGGUUUUUUUUCCUUACCAUUGGUUAUUUCUGCUAUUCUGCAGCCUCACUUCUAGAGGGUGUUAUUUGACACCACGUGGGAGGAGAAGCGAGGUAUGUGAAACAACUUCUGCUUGAACCAGCAGCAGGCUGCCUCCCUAGAGCAAAUUCUCAGUUCCUUUGUGCAGAAUCUUUCUGAAGCUCUCUGUUUUGAUAUUACAUAUGCAGCCCACAAUUCCCAGUUUCAGUGUUUGUAUGCUUCAGGACAGCCUUGUGUGAUGUGAGGCAAUUUGAGUGUUACGUUUUCACCGAGGAGGAAAGGGGACAAAAGCAACCUAUCUCUAUUUUUCACGAAGUGAAACUUUUAUUUCCUUGGUUUUAAAAUUGUAGCAGAUGAUCUCACUCUGCCAUUAAACAGUAAAAAAAAUGGUGCUUCAAAACUCAA